UGGCGCCUGCGUAUUUCCUAUUGACAGGUUAGUGUGCAAAACAAGAGCGAUAGCCUUUACCUCAUUUAUGUACUUGAGCGUUCAGAAAUAGGAUCUAAUAACGACUUUAUUCGAGGAGGAAAAUUCUAACGAAAKAUUAUACAGAGUGAGAGAUGGAUUCGCAGACGAAGGCUGAGCCGAUGCGCGUGCUCGUCACGGGCGGAUCCGGAUUGGUCGGGAAGGCCAUCGAGCACGUGGUGAAACAGGAAGGAGGCUGUCUCGAGGGCGAGCAGUGGACCUUCCUCUGCUCUAAAGAGGCCAACCUCGUUUGUUCUGCCAGAGAUCUACAACAGACAAGAGCAGUGUUUGAGAAGUAUCGGCCCACCCAUGUCAUCCACCUGGCUGCCAAGGUGGGAGGACUCUAUCUUCACAUGAAGGAGAACCUACACUUUCU
Salvelinus sp. IW2-2015 is the source of this 433-nucleotide long non-coding RNA. RefSeq lists it as uncharacterized. Lineage: Eukaryota; Metazoa; Chordata; Actinopteri; Salmoniformes; Salmonidae. The record is from RefSeq and is a predicted model, not a curated record.